This 503-nucleotide ribosomal RNA is filed under the name uncultured bacterium. RNAcentral's name for it is "partial 16S ribosomal RNA". It matches the Rfam family "Bacterial small subunit ribosomal RNA", at positions 30 to 523 of the family's 1533-position model. The record is from RNAcentral.
AUUGAACGCUGGCGGCAGGCUUAACACAUGCAAGUCGAGCGGGGUGAUGGUGCUUGCACUAUCACUUAGCGGCGGACGGGUGAGUAAUGCUUAGGAAUCUGCCUAUUAGUGGGGGACAAGAUCUCGAAAGGGAUGCUAAUACCGCAUACGUCCUACGGGAGAAAGCAGGGGAUCACUUGUGACCUCGACCUAAUAGAGGAGCCUAAGUCGGAUUAGCUAGUUGGUGGGGUAAAGGCCUACCAAGGCGACGAUCUGUAGCGGGUCUGAGAGGAUGAUCCGCCACACUGGGACUGAGACACGGCCCAGACUCCUACGGGAGGCAGCAGUGGGGAAUAUUGGACAAUGGGGGGAACCCUGAUCCAGCCAUGCCGCGUGUGUGAAGAAGGCCUUAUGGUUGUAAAGCACUUUAAGCGAGGAGGAGGCUCUUUUGGUUAAUACCCAAGAUGAGUGGACGUUACUCGCAGAAUAAGCACCGGCUAACUCUGUGCCAGCAGCCGCGGUAA